RNAcentral lists this ribosomal RNA (810 nucleotides) under uncultured Bacillota bacterium. RNAcentral describes it as "bacterial SSU rRNA". It matches the Rfam family "Bacterial small subunit ribosomal RNA", at positions 1 to 799 of the family's 1533-position model. The record is from RNAcentral. Lineage: Bacteria; Bacillati; Bacillota.
AGGAGAGUUUGAUCCUGGCUCAGGAUGAACGCUGGCGGCGUGCCUAACACAUGCAAGUCGAACGAAGCGUCCCGCCCGAUGAAGUGGAGUGCUUGCACAAAGCGGAAUCAAUUGGGACGACUUAGUGGCGGACGGGUGAGUAACGCGUGGGUAACCUGCCUUAUACAGGGGGAUAACAGUUAGAAAUGACUGCUAAUACCGCAUAAGCGCACAGUACCGCAUGAUACAGUGUGAAAAGAUUUAUCGGUAUAAGAUGGACCCGCGUCUGAUUAGCCAGUUGGUGAGGUAACGGCUCACCAAAGCGACGAUCAGUAGCCGGCCUGAGAGGGUGAACGGCCACAUUGGGACUGAGACACGGCCCAAACUCCUACGGGAGGCAGCAGUGGGGGAUAUUGCACAAUGGGGGAAACCCUGAUGCAGCGACGCCGCGUGAGUGAAGAAGUAUUUCGGUAUGUAAAGCUCUAUCAGCAGGGAAGAAAAUGACGGUACCUGACUAAGAAGCCCCGGCUAACUACGUGCCAGCAGCCGCGGUAAUACGUAGGGGGCAAGCGUUAUCCGGAUUUACUGGGUGUAAAGGGAGCGUAGACGGCGAGCCAAGUCUGAUGUGAAAGGUGGGGGCUCAACCCCCAAACUGCAUUGGAAACUGGUUUGCUAGAGUGUCGGAGAGGUAAGUGGAAUUCCUAGUGUAGCGGUGAAAUGCGUAGAUAUUANGAGGAACACCAGUGGCGAAGGCGGCUUACUGGACGAUCACUGACGUUGAGGCUCGAAAGCGUGGGGAGCAAACAGGAUUAGAUACCCUGGUAGUCCCCU